UGCAAAGUGACAAUGAUGUAUUGCCUUGGAUUGAUUCAUUUACGAAAAGAAGCGGUCUUCUGAAAUCUCCAAGAUCUUUUAUUUGUUUGCUCAAGAGUAACCAAAGAAUGGGGAAUAUGCUACUUGACUUUCACAUCCUCAUCAAAUACGACCUUGAAUACUCACAUUGAUCAAUGUCUUCCUGGGGAGUCAUCAGCAGUCAAGUGG
This 207-nucleotide long non-coding RNA is filed under the name Capsicum annuum. Its description in RNAcentral is "long non-coding RNA (CANN_LNC018999)". The record is from RNAcentral. Lineage: Eukaryota; Viridiplantae; Streptophyta; Magnoliopsida; Solanales; Solanaceae.